UUCGCUGCUAAUUUUGGUGAACUACACGGGCCAAGCCCUACAAUUCGGCCUUUUUAUUUUCUGGGCCAAGGCCUUUUUGUACCAGCAGUUUUAGUUUUCUUUCUUUUUAUAAAAUGGGUCCAUUAGUCAAACAAGUCCCACUUGUCAGGUUCUGAUAAAUGGGUCCCAGCUAUUAGGCUCAGAUUCUUCAUAUUUCAAUUUGACAUCAUAUUUGAAUUUCAUAGUAAGAAAACAACCAGUAUUUAAAUAGGCAAGCAGAAAACACACAUAAUAAUUCAAAUAACAAUAGCCAGAUUCACUACAAGCUCUACAAAUGACACGUAAUACAAGCUCAACAUAUACAAUGCUUUACAAGCUCUACAAAUGCAAAGCUCUACAGUACUUUACAAGCUCUCCAAGUAAUGUUACAAGCUCUACAAGUGUUUUCUUCUUCAACAUGGAGCUCCUUCGAUAGAGAUCAAAUGCCACACUCACUGGACUGGGCUAACAGAACGACUGCAUGCCCUCCAUGAUCGCCCUGUUACAUGAAUCAGCUAAGAAGAAUUAGAAAAACUAGAGUAAAAUGGAGUAAAGGACAAUUCAUUAUAGAAUGAUAAACACACAAAGCUCUAUCCAUAGUACCAGCAAUGAAUAACAAGAACAACUCCAGAUUAUUAGCUGAUUCAUUAUAGAAUAAUAUAGAACAAGCUCCUAGUUUGGAGUGAACAGUGGAUAAAAUCAUGCAACAGCAAUGGAACAAUCAUGCACACAUUAUAAUAAAAUGGAUAGAACAAUAAAAUGGAUAUAACAAUAACAAGAACAACUCCAGAUUACACACAAAGCUCUAUCCAUAGUACCAGCAAUGGAUAAAAUCAUGCACACAGUAUAAUUCUGACUAUAAUAUAACCAGAGAACUAAAGAUUCUACAUACUUUGAACUCAUCAACUAAUAAGUGAGAAUGAUCUAAUUGUAUGCAAACAAUCUUUUUUUAUUUGUUUAUAUUACUGAAAUAGACAUCUUCCUUUAUGUGAAGUCUGCUUCCUUCUUUAGUUAGUAGUAAUCGUUCCAUGCAAAUCAACCGUGUGUGUAUGCUUGAGCAUGGUCUGGAGAUUACAUGCAUAGAGGAACAGAAUCCUAAACAAAAUAGCAUCAAAUAGUGGUGGGUGCUCAACUUAUUUACCAUACACUAGCAACACUUAAACCAUAGCAUGUGCAUAUACUUGUGUCACAUUAGGGGGUUCAGAAUGUACACAGUAUAUUCUAAUAAAAAGGAUUGGGAGCAGAGGGAGAGGGAGGUGGAUAUGGACAUGCUACCUGCUGCUGCAGUGGUGCCUCUUGGUGGUCGUGCUUGAGCUCCUCCUGAUGCUGCGUGAAUCCAAGUGGCUCUCAAGCAAAAUCUCCAGCGAAACUACAAUGCAACGUAUAGUAAGUAGCAACAAUGUCUGCGAUGUCUGCAAUGAACUUUUGAGCAGCUACAGCAACCAGCCUUGUUCCGCAGACCACAAAAUUAGGAAAUAGAUUUAAAAACAUGUCAUUCAUGUGGACCAAUAAUCACUGAGUUGGAGGGGAAACUGCAGUUUCUCUCAGGCUGGAACUACAACGUGCUAAAA
This 1589-nucleotide long non-coding RNA is filed under the name Triticum aestivum (bread wheat). RNAcentral describes it as "long non-coding RNA (TAES_LNC006849)". Lineage: Eukaryota; Viridiplantae; Streptophyta; Magnoliopsida; Poales; Poaceae. The record is from RNAcentral.